This 254-nucleotide ribosomal RNA is filed under the name uncultured bacterium. RNAcentral's name for it is "partial 16S ribosomal RNA". It matches the Rfam family "Bacterial small subunit ribosomal RNA", at positions 524 to 776 of the family's 1533-position model. The record is from RNAcentral.
UACGUAGGGGGCAAGCGUUGUCCGGAUUUAUUGGGCGUAAAGAGCUCGUAGGCGGCUUAGCAAGUCGGGUGUGAAAACUCCAGGCUCAACCUGGAGACGCCACUCGAGACUGCUAUGGCUAGAGUCCGGUAGGGGACCACGGAAUUCCUGGUGUAGCGGUGAAAUGCGCAGAUAUCAGGAGGAACACCGGUGGCGAAGGCGGUGGUCUGGGCCGGAACUGACGCUGAGGAGCGAAAGCGUGGGGAGCAAACAGG